RNAcentral lists this long non-coding RNA (1104 nucleotides) under Geospiza fortis (medium ground-finch). Its description in RNAcentral is "lncRNA (ENSGFOG00000013931.1)". The record is from RNAcentral. Lineage: Eukaryota; Metazoa; Chordata; Aves; Passeriformes; Thraupidae.
AUUCCUCCGGGUUCAUCAUCCCUUCCUCCCGUUCCUCCUGGUUUAUUUUCCCUUCCUCCCAUUCCUCCGGCUUCAUCAUCCCUUCCUCCCGUUCCUCCUGGUUUAUUUUCCUUUCCUCCCAUUCCUCCGGCUUCAUCAUCCCUUCCUCCCGUUCCUCCUGGUUUAUUUUCCCGUCCUCCCAUUCCUCCGGGUUCAUCAUCCCUUCCUCCUGUUUCUCCAGCUCUGCUCCAGGUCUAUUAUCCUUUCCUCCCAUUUUUUCCAGCUCCACUUCAGGUUUCUUAUCCCUUCCUCCCACUUCUCCAGGUUUAUUUCCCCUUCCUCCCAUUUCUCCAGCUCCACUCCAGGUUUGUUUUCCCUUUCUCCUGUUUCUCCAGGUCAAUUAUCCUUUCCUCUCAUUUCUCCAGCUUUAUUUCCCCUUCCUCUCUUUUCUCCAGCUCUGCUCCAGGUCUAUUAUCCUUUCCUCCCAUUUUUCCCAGCUCCACUUCUGGUUUAUUUCCCCUUUCUCCCAUUUCUCCAGGUUUCUUAUCCCUUCCUCCAUUUCUCCAGGUUUAUUUCGCCUUCCUCCUGUUUCUCCAGGUCCAUUAUCCUUUCCUCUCAUUUCUCCAGGUUCAUUAUCUCUUCCUCUCAUUUCUCCAGAUUUAUUUUCCCUUCCUCCCGUUUCUCCAGCUCUGCUCCAGGUCUAUUAUCCUUUCCUCCCAUUUUUCUAGCUCCACUCCAGGUUUAUUUUCCCUUUCUCCUGUUUCUUCAGGUUUCUUAUCCCUUCCUCCUGUUUCUCCAGUUUUAUUUUCCCUUCCUCCCAUUUCUCCAGGUCCAUUAUCCUUUCCUCCCGUUUCUCCAGCUCUGUCCCGAGUUUAUUAUCCUUUCCUCCCAUUUUUCCCAGCUCCACUCCAGGUUUAUUUUCCCUUUAACAGCACAAGGGAGGGGAUGGACACCCCAAAACCCCUGGGUGCCCGUGCUGAGGGCCAGCAGCACCCCUGGGACACUCAGCUGUCUCUCCCCAGCGAUCCCAGAGAGGCAAAAACCACAGAGCAGCACAGAGACCUCUUCCCACAGAGUGAGGAAAACGCAGCAGCACCAGGAAUUCCUGCCACUCCUUUGCCACCC